This 383-nucleotide ribosomal RNA is filed under the name uncultured bacterium. Its description in RNAcentral is "bacterial SSU rRNA". It matches the Rfam family "Bacterial small subunit ribosomal RNA", at positions 30 to 419 of the family's 1533-position model. The record is from RNAcentral.
AUUGAACGCUGGCGGAAUGCUUUACACAUGCAAGUCGAACGGUAGAGGGGGCAACCCCUUGAGAGUGGCGAACGGGUGAGUAAUAUAUCGGAACGUGCCCAGUCGUGGGGAUAACGUAGCGAAAGCUACGCUAAUACCGCAUACGAUCUAUGGAUGAAAGCGGGGGAUCGCAAGACCUCGCGCGAUUGGAGCGGCCGAUAUCAGAUUAGGUAGUUGGUGAGGUAAAGGCUCACCAAGCCGACGAUCUGUAGCUGGUCUGAGAGGACGACCAGCCACACUGGGACUGAGACACGGCCCAGACUCCUACGGGAGGCAGCAGUGGGAAUUUUGGACAAUGGGCGCAAGCCUGAUCCAGCAAUGCCGCGUGCAGGAUGAAGGCCUUC